This 615-nucleotide ribosomal RNA is filed under the name uncultured bacterium. RNAcentral's name for it is "bacterial SSU rRNA". It matches the Rfam family "Bacterial small subunit ribosomal RNA", at positions 338 to 945 of the family's 1533-position model. The record is from RNAcentral.
CCUACGGGAGGCAGCAGUGGGGAAUUUUGGACAAUGGGCGAAAGCCUGAUCCAGCAAUGCCGCGUGAGUGAAGAAGGCCUUCGGGUUGUAAAGCUCUUUUGUCAGGGAAGAAACGGUGUUUUCUAAUACAGAAUGCUAAUGACGGUACCUGAAGAAUAAGCACCGGCUAACUACGUGCCAGCAGCCGCGGUAAUACGUAGGGUGCAAGCGUUAAUCGGAAUUACUGGGCGUAAAGCGUGCGCAGGCGGUUUUGUAAGUCUGACGUGAAAUCCCCGGGCUCAACCUGGGAAUUGCGUUGGAGACUGCAAGGCUAGAGUUUGGCAGAGGGGGGUAGAAUUCCACGUGUAGCAGUGAAAUGCGUAGAUAUGUGGAGGAACACCGAUGGCGAAGGCAGCCCCCUGGGUCAAGACUGACGCUCAUGCACGAAAGCGUGGGGAGCAAACAGGAUUAGAUACCCUGGUAGUCCACGCCCUAAACGAUGUCUACUAGUUGUCGGGUCUUAAUUGACUUGGUAACGCAGCUAACGCGUGAAGUAGACCGCCUGGGGAGUACGGUCGCAAGNUUAAAACUUCAAAGGAUUGACGGCUUGNGNGNGCGAGCGACGACGAGGAGAGG